This 215-nucleotide ribosomal RNA is filed under the name uncultured bacterium. Its description in RNAcentral is "partial 16S ribosomal RNA". It matches the Rfam family "Bacterial small subunit ribosomal RNA", at positions 118 to 347 of the family's 1533-position model. The record is from RNAcentral.
UGGGAGCGUACCUUUCGGUUCGGAAUAAUACAGGGAAACUUGUACUAAUACCGGAUACGCCCUUUGGGGGAAAGAUUUAUCGCCGAAAGAUCGGCCCGCGUCUGAUUAGCUAAUUGGUGAGGUAAUGGCUCACCAAGGCGACGAUCAGUAGCUGGUCUGAGAGGAUGAUCAGCCACACUGGGACUGAGACACGGCCCAGACUCCUACGGGAGCAG